CCCCCAUUGCCUUUUCGUCUCCAAAGAUUAGAGACCAAAAUCCCCUCCCCGAACCCUAGCCGCCGCCCUCCAUUCCCACCGCCCGAAAACCGGUGGCAACGAUGCCGAUGACCACCAAACUCACACCCCUCAAUAACCAAUCCCCCCUCAGUCCGAAUCCACGUUCAGUUUCCUUCAAAUUCUCAUAGAACCCUUUGAAUCCCAUGUUAGUUUUGUUCGAAUCUUGUUAUAGCCUUUCGAAUUUCAAAUAAAAUGCGAACCCUUAAAGGACAAAACUUUAGACUGUGUAAGAAGUUAAAAAUUUGAGGUUUUAAUCGAUUUUAGUCGAGUGUUCUCAGUCGAGAACACUCGAUUAAGGCCCGUUUUGGCCUCAAAAUUCAGAUUGAAGUUUCGACUAAAAAAGGUUUGAAUGGUUUGAAACUUCGAGGUAUUUCCGCUUCUUUAUUGCUUCUUUUGUUGUUGUUAAUGUUUGUUUUAUUAAUUUCGUUGUAAUUCAUCAUUUUUGUCAAAUUACUUCUUCCUCCUCUUUCGGACCUUUUUCUGGUCCAGUUUUCAUCAUUUGUUUGAACAGCAUAUGCUAUAAAAUAUCGAGUUGAUUAAAUAGUUUCGCCGAUUAGUCCAUCCAUGUUUGUAGUUUAGAAGUUCUCGUCAGGUUAUUUGAUAUUGAUUAUUUUAUUUUUCUGAUCCUUAGCUUCUCAGCGAUUUACUCUCAGUGUUCCUACAUUUUGUUUGAGAUUAAUUUAGAACUGUGAUUCAUUCUAAAUAUAGUUGGUUUAUUCCUAUGUAUCUGGACCAGUCAUGGUUUAAAAUUUGACCUUACUAGCUCAAUAUGAUUUUUGUUCUGAAUCAUUGGUCUUUAUUUUGAUGGUAUUUAAUCUGAUCUAAGUUUCUAGCUUGAAUUGCUGACUGAUUUUGAUGUGUUUAAUUGGUUAUAGCUGAUGUGUUUUGGUGCAGAUCAAAAGGGGAUUAAGUUAGGAUAGUAAUUUCAGGGAUUUCAAGGGGUAGUUUGGGAUUUAAAACCUAAAAAUGGUUCAGUUUAAAGUGGCCUGCUAGUAGAAUGUUCAGUGUGCCACUGAACCGUUGAAUAAUUUAAUCAAAAAGGGGAAUAAGGGGUUCGCCUAGUUCCUUUACUAAUUAAAAAUUAGAAACAGUAGGUUAAUAAUGACAAAGCUAAAAGGGUAUACAUAGUAAAGGAAUAUACAAACUGGAAAGUAAAACGUAUGGGGUAAUAAUAAAAUAUCGUUUUUACAAUUGUAAAGAAAAAAAUGGGCUGGAAAGGGUUUAAGGGUUGGGUAUAAAUAUAGUGAGUAAGAGUUUUAGAGGGGAUGAGUCCUUUGGAAAGUUUGAGAGAGUUAAGAGAACUUGAAAAGCGAAAAAUAGAAACAUAUGUCUUUAAUCAGUCGGAGAGAGCAUUUUUGAGAGCUAGGAAAUAUCAGUUCUUGAGAACUACUAGGAUUAGUUUUUGAACAUCAUUUUGAAAGGGUUCUUAGGCAGUCUGGUAGAGCUUGAAAACACUUGAAAAAUACUAGUGAGUUUUGAGUCAGUUGUUGAGUGUUGAAGAAAAACAAAGAGAGUAUAAGUUGAACAUUGUUCCAUUGAAUUUUUUUUUCAAUUUCGAGAUUCAGUAUUUGAUUUUGAUCUUCCCUCCUAAUUUCAAUUGACUGGAACUUUUUCUGAGAUCUGUUGGUCCAGUUUGGUUUAAUUCAAGUUCAGUUGAGUCUUUUUGGGUGUUGACUAUUGUUGUUGGGUUUUACAAAUCAUUUCGUGCUUUGUUUGAGUGUGUUUCUAGUUUGGAAUUGGUGCUGGCGUUGAUUUGAAUUUGAUUGACUGUUGUUGUGACCUGUUGUGCCAUUUGUUCAGUCUGUAGCUGACCUCCCUUUCUUCUUUUUCUUUUUCUUCUUCUUCUUCUUCUUCUUCUAUUUCCAUUAUCCAGGUACACAUUUUGAACUUGAUUCAAUGUAGUAUCAUCAGUUGAUAAUGAAAUAUGAUGGGAGCAUGAUUUUUAUAUAGUUUACCAAAUCAUUGUGGAGUUUUUGUAUUGAGGUAGUUCUGUACCGAUUUGAAUCUGAAAUGCUAAUGUAGUUUUGGAUCUUAAUUAUGAAUAGUAAAACAUAAGGCUUGUAUAAUUGGGAUUGUUUUCAAGUGGAUUUGGACUGUUUAAUUUUGUGGACUGUAUCUGGGCUGUUAGGAUUAUUGCAGUUGGUGGCCAUCUAGCUUUAGCUUCAGUGCAAUUGAUACUUGGUUAGUUUAGCAUUCUGUUUAAAGGGGGAUCCUAAAUAGCUUUAGCUUCAGUGCAAUUGAUACUUGGUUAGUUUAGCAUUCUGUUUAAAGGGGGAUCCUAAAUAGCUUUAGCUUCAGUGCAAUUGAUACUUGGUUAGUUUAGCAUUCUGUUUAAAGGGGGAUCCUAAAUAGCUUUAGCUUCAGUGCAAUUGAUACUUGGUUAGUUUAGCAUUCUGUUUAAAGGGGGAUCCUAAAUAGCUUUAGCUUCAGUGCAAUUGAUACUUGGUUAGUUUAGCAUUCUGUUUAAAGGGGGAUAAUAAAUAGUAUAGAUUCCAUGUUGAUUUUGAUUUCAAGUUGAAAGUAUAUCUCCAGUAGCUUGGAACCGCAAUAGUUAGCUAAUAGAUUGUUAGUGGUUUAUCUUAGUUGUUAUACAAUCAGAUAUGAGUAGAGUAUGAAUUCGGGCUAUUUAUUUAUUCCUGACGGUAUUAGUAAAAAAAUGAUUAAGCUACUGAUCUAUUCAUUUGAGAAUUAUGGUCAUAGGAUAUUGAUAACUAAUUCAAUUCACAUUUCUAUUUUACCUUUCACUUUUAGUAGUACUUAACCAAUAACAAAGAAAUAACGUGACUGAAGCCUUGAACUGGCGUAAAGCCAACCAGCUUAAGGCAAUUUCAAUAGGCAUUGGGUUGGAUUCAAUUGUGACUACAUUUAACAACCAGUCUGUUUGCAGGCCGUUGGGACUGAAUGCAUUAAACAGGCGACCCAGGUCUCAUUUCGGUCCAAUAUUCAUUUGGACCGGGCC
This 3019-nucleotide long non-coding RNA is filed under the name Nicotiana benthamiana. RNAcentral describes it as "long non-coding RNA (NBEN_LNC013818)". The record is from RNAcentral. Lineage: Eukaryota; Viridiplantae; Streptophyta; Magnoliopsida; Solanales; Solanaceae.